AGGAGUGUAGCUCAAUUGGUAGAGCGCCGGUCUCCAAAACCGGAGGUUGCGGGUUCGAUGCCUGUCGCUCCUGCCA
RNAcentral lists this transfer RNA (76 nucleotides) under Janthinobacterium lividum. RNAcentral describes it as "tRNA-Trp". It matches the Rfam family "tRNA". Rfam says of the family: Transfer RNA (tRNA) molecules are approximately 80 nucleotides in length. Their secondary structure includes four short double-helical elements and three loops (D, anti-codon, and T loops). RNAcentral also lists the same sequence under 44 other names. The record is from RNAcentral. Lineage: Bacteria; Pseudomonadati; Pseudomonadota; Betaproteobacteria; Burkholderiales; Oxalobacteraceae.